AUAGCUGGUUCAUGUGUUUUAUA
This 23-nucleotide non-coding RNA is filed under the name Arabidopsis thaliana (thale cress). The record is from RNAcentral. Lineage: Eukaryota; Viridiplantae; Streptophyta; Magnoliopsida; Brassicales; Brassicaceae.